Molecule: ribosomal RNA, 568 nt
Filed under: uncultured bacterium
Lineage: Bacteria
Description: bacterial SSU rRNA
Rfam family: Bacterial small subunit ribosomal RNA
Source: RNAcentral
AGUCGAGGGGCAGCGGAGAGGUAGCAAUACCUUUGCCGGCGACCGGCGCACGGGUGAGUAACACGUAUGCAAUCCACCUGUAACAGGGGGAUAACCCGGAGAAAUCCGGACUAAUACCCCAUAAUAUGGGCUCUCCGCAUGGAGGGUCCAUUAAAGAGAGCAAUUUUGGUUACAGACGAGCAUGCGCUCCAUUAGCCAGUUGGCGGGGUAACGGCCCACCAAAGCGACGAUGGAUAGGGGUUCUGAGAGGAAGGUCCCCCACAUUGGAACUGAGACACGGUCCAAACUCCUACGGGAGGCAGCAGUGAGGAAUAUUGGUCAAUGGUCGGCAGACUGAACCAGCCAAGUCGCGUGAGGGAAGACGGCCCUACGGGUUGUAAACCUCUUUUGUCGGAGAGUAAAGUACGCUACGUGUAGCGUAUUGCAAGUAUCCGAAGAAAAAGCAUCGGCUAACUCCGUGCCAGCAGCCGCGGUAAUACGGAGGAUGCAAGCGUUAUCCGGAUUUAUUGGGUUUAAAGGGUGCGUAGGCGGCACGCCAAGUCAGCGGUGAAAUUUCCGGGCUCAACCC